This 355-nucleotide ribosomal RNA is filed under the name Bacillus cereus group sp. N21. RNAcentral describes it as "bacterial SSU rRNA". It matches the Rfam family "Bacterial small subunit ribosomal RNA", at positions 1 to 344 of the family's 1533-position model. The record is from RNAcentral. Lineage: Bacteria; Bacillati; Bacillota; Bacilli; Caryophanales; Bacillaceae.
UUAUUGGAGAGUUUGAUCCUGGCUCAGGAUGAACGCUGGCGGCGUGCCUAAUACAUGCAAGUCGAGCGAAUGAAUUAAGAGCUUGCUCUUAUGAAGUUAGCGGCGGACGGGUGAGUAACACGUGGGUAACCUGCCCAUAAGACUGGGAUAACUCCGGGAAACCGGGGCUAAUACCGGAUAACAUUUUGCACCGCAUGGUGCGAAAUUCAAAGGCGGCUUCGGCUGUCACUUAUGGAUGGACCCGCGUCGCAUUAGCUAGUUGGUGAGGUAACGGCUCACCAAGGCAACGAUGCGUAGCCGACCUGAGAGGGUGAUCGGCCACACUGGGACUGAGACACGGCCCAGACUCCUACGG